GACGAACGCUGGCGGCGUGCUUAACACAUGCAAGUCGAACGAAGAGCGAUGGAAGCUUGCUUCUAUCAAUCUUAGUGGCGAACGGGUGAGUAACGCGUAAUCAACCUUCCCUUCAGAGGGGGACAACAGUUGGAAACGACUGCUAAUACCGCAUACGAUCUAAUCUCGGCAUCGAGGAUAGAUGAAAGGUGGCCUCUACAUGUAAGCUAUCACUGAAGGAGGGGAUUGCGUCUGAUUGGCUAGUUGGAGGGGUAACGGCCCACCAAGGCGAUGAUCAGUAGCCGGUCUGAGAGGAUGAACGGCCACAUUGGGACUGAGACACGGCCCAGACUCCUACGGGAGGCAGCAGUGGGGAAUCUUCCGCAAUGGACGAAAGUCUGACGGAGCAACGCCGCGUGAGUGAUGACGGCCUUCGGGUUGUAAAGCUCUGUUAAUCGGGACGAAAGGCCUUCUUGCGAAUAGUGAGAAGGAUUGACGGUACCGGAAUAGAAAGCCACGGCUAACUACGUG
RNAcentral lists this ribosomal RNA (510 nucleotides) under uncultured bacterium. Its description in RNAcentral is "partial 16S ribosomal RNA". It matches the Rfam family "Bacterial small subunit ribosomal RNA", at positions 28 to 507 of the family's 1533-position model. The record is from RNAcentral.